UACGUAGGGUGCGAGCGUUAUUCGGAAUUACUGGGCGUAAAGCGUGCGCAGGCGGUUUUGCAAGUCAGAUGUGAAAUCCCCGGGCUUAACCUGGGAAUUGCAUUUGUGACUGCACGGCUAGAGUGUGUCAGAGGGGGGUAGAAUUCCACGUGUAGCAGUGAAAUGCGUAGAUAUGUGGAGGAAUACCGAUGGCGAAGGCAGCCCCCUGGGAUAACACUGACGCUCAUGCACGAAAGCGUGGGGAGCAAACAGG
Molecule: ribosomal RNA, 253 nt
Filed under: uncultured bacterium
Lineage: Bacteria
Description: partial 16S ribosomal RNA
Rfam family: Bacterial small subunit ribosomal RNA
Source: RNAcentral